CCUGUUGCCACAAACCCGUAGAUCCGAACUUGUGGUGAUAGUCCGCACAAGCUUGUGUCUAUAGGUAUGUGUCUGUUAGG
RNAcentral lists this microRNA precursor (80 nucleotides) under Microcebus murinus (gray mouse lemur). Its description in RNAcentral is "microRNA 100 (ENSMICG00000018798.3)". The stretch from base 6 to 75 matches the Rfam family "mir-10 microRNA precursor family". From Rfam's summary of the family: In this case the mature sequence comes from the 5' arm of the precursor. The extents of the hairpin precursors are not generally known and are estimated based on hairpin prediction. The products are thought to have regulatory roles through complementarity to mRNA. The record is from RNAcentral. Lineage: Eukaryota; Metazoa; Chordata; Mammalia; Primates; Cheirogaleidae.